This is a long non-coding RNA of Ostrinia nubilalis (European corn borer), 779 nucleotides long. RefSeq lists it as uncharacterized. NCBI's taxonomy places the organism in Eukaryota, Metazoa, Arthropoda, Insecta, Lepidoptera, Crambidae. The record is from RefSeq and is a predicted model, not a curated record. The transcript has 2 exons.
AUUGUAUUGAGUUGAAAUGUCGCGUGACGUCACUUUUGAGUAAAAAAUCUACUCAAGCGUGACGUAACGCGCCAAUUCAACUCGAUGUAGGACUGUUAUUAUUUAAUUAUGAAAGAAAAUAAAAAAUAUGAGUUUAAUAUUUUCUAAUAUCUGUCUGACGGACAAAUAAUUGAAAAUUUGUCAUUUAGCCUUUAAAAGUAUUGAUUUAUAGUAGUGCCAAGUGCUCUCCUGUAUAGGUCUACCAGAAUCUCAUGGCAAACAAAAAUAUUGGAAAAGUGUGGCUUUCAUAAGGAAAUUGUCUAUGGCUUUAUUGUCACCUGUCAAAACAAAUUACGAGAUUUGUCAACCACUGCAGAAAUUUUGUGAAUCUUCAUGAUUAUUUGUUAUUUUUAUGAAAAUACAAAAAAAAAACUCAAGCGAGUUAUAUUGUUUUCAAUGUGUAUUGUAAAAUAUGGCGUAAUUUAAACUCAAUCUUUGAUUUUAAAGCACGUCGUUGAGUUGACAGGUAAGUCGGACUGAAAUGUUAAGAUUACAUUUAGUUUAUUACCCGACUGCGUCAGAAAGAGGGUUAUGUUUAUUUUUAAGUAUUUUUCUUUCUUAAUAGCUGCUUUAUUGAGGUUUACCUACAGGUGAAUCUCACAAAUUGGUGCAAAGGAAUGGUGAAAAUGUUGUAACCAUGUAAAGAAACUUGAUAAGAUUUCAUCAAGCAAAAUCAUUAUUAAUCAUCAAGCAAGAUUGAAUAAUAAAAUUGAAAUGCUGGAAGAGCAAUUUAUAAUAAA